GAAUUACAACAAUGUGAUAUUUCUGUGUUAUAGAGGUUAUAAAAGGAAGGUGGAAGAACAGUUAGUGAGCGCGCUCGGAGGAUUUUUUCUACUGUUGUGGAGGAAAGGUUGGUCACAGUGGUUGUGUGGUUUGUGAAAUCCCUGAGCAGGGCUUGGUUUAAUUUAGGAAGCACUCCAUCAGGAGGAGCAAAUACAAAACUUAAUAGUGAUUAAUGUACAAUUGCAACAAGUUGCAUUUUUCUGUGCAGUGUUCCUGCUCAGAUAAACAUGAUGCAUAUAUAGUGUACAUGUUCUGCAGGCAAACUUAACAUGUCUAAGUGUUUUAUAAAAAUCUGAAGCCUGCCAGUGAAAGCGUGUGUGUGUGUGUGUGUGUGUGUGUGUGUGUGUGUGUGUGUACAUCAUGUGAGCGGAGCAUUAUUAGGCCUUUCUGGGGAGUUAUCCAUUAAUUCGGGGUUAAAGUCCAUUUGCAUCUAGACAAAAGGGACAUGGACCAUCCAUCUCCACGCUGAGGGGAAGGGGCUAACCGAGGGAGGGAAAGGGGGAGGAGGGAUGUGUGUGCAUGUGUGUGUGUGUGUGUGUGUGUGUGUGUGUGUGUGUGAGAGAGGGAGGUGAACCAUCCUCUUGCAGAUAAAUCUGUUGCCCUCAGGGGUGCGUUUACAUAGGUGAGGACUGACUGUUCUGCAAGCUGAGAGUGAUUUAUCUGAAAAUACCACCAGUAACCACACACACACACACACACACACACACACACACACACACCUAUAGCAAGCUCUCAAUCAAUUCCUUCACUAUGGAUGAAGCGAUGAAGCACCCCUUUUCUCUUCCAGUGUAUGUGUGUGCGUGUGUGCAAAUUAAGCUUGCACAUAUGCAUGUAAACACUAAUAUACACAAAAACAGAGGAGCAUAAUACACACACACCUACACACUGCUGAACAAAUGCAUACCUUAUACUUUAAAAAACAAAAAGAGAAAAAAGACCAAAAUCUAUAUUUGAAAUAGGAUAAAAGUUGAUUUCGUUUUGCAGAGGAUUUUUUUUUUUUUUUUUUUUGCUGCAGCUGCGAUCUCAUCCUGCUUGUAGAUCCUCCCUUACACAACCACAGAAAGGAUUUCCUAGCAACGAUUAUAAUGCGCGCGCGCACGCACGCACACAAACUCACACAUACGUACACACAAGCUCAACGCGCUGGGGCUCCCUCCAGCUAUCAGCGUGGGCUUCCCCCUCCUUCUCCUCCUCCUCCUCUUCUUCUCCCUCGCUGCAGCUCCGCCGUGGAGGGAAAGAGGGAGAGAAGAGAGAGCGUGCGGGAGAGAGAGAGAGAGAGAGAGAGAGAGAGAGAGAGAGAGAGAGAGAGAGAGAUCCCCUCUUCACAACUCUCUCCUGGAAGCCCCAGCUGCUGGCUAGACUGCGCGGUUACACAGGCUGCCUGCCUGCACACCGGAAUGGCGGUGUGUGGAUGUGGAGAUGGUCCGUUCUGCGCCAAAGCUGCCACGGAGCGAAGAAAUGAACGGAGACGGAAAGACGGGGAGAAAGAGAGAGAGUGUGUGUGUGUGUGUGUGUGUGUGCGCACGCCGCGGCUCGUUUCACGCGAAAGUCGCGGAAGAAACGGGAAACAGCUCCGUGUUUUCGAAGAGUGAGAGACAGUGAGAGGGAAAGGGGGGAUGGGGAAGCUUGGAGAGCCACGGAAGCCCGAGAAGUGCGCUUUUAUUCGGUGCGUAAUGACACGGCGCGUCUCUCCGAUGGCUGUACCGACGUGCUGUUGACGAGAAGAGGAGGGAGGGGGGUUCAACGUGUGAGGUUAUACCGGCGAAUACCGGGGACGGUUUUAUAUCCAGAUACUACAGCCGACAUGGGAGCAGAGGCUACAGUCCCAUUGCGCGUAACACGACGCACAUGGCAUGCCCCCCUGUGCCCCUAGCUCCCUCCUCCUCCACACUGACAGGGAGGCUUUUGCUGCAGGGCGCCAUUUUCAAAAGCCUUCUUUGCAUAUGAGAUUUAUUUUGCUGCAGGAGGGCUGCAGCCGUCCUGCCGUCUCAUGUUACAAAUAUAUCUGCCCAAAAAACAAUAUGGACUGAAGAGGAAGAAAACAGGAAAACUGGACGGAACUUUAAUGUGUCAUCUAUUCUUCUGUUUAAGAUUGUUUUUUAUUGCAAAGCGAGGAGUUUCCGUGUUGGUGAAGUUAAUCCAAAGUGACUGCAGCAGGACGGGCAGCUUUUCUGUGGCAGCACGAUGAGGCGAUAAUAGCAAUAACACCAAUAACAAGACACACACUCACAAGCGGAGAGACACCGGAAUAUUACCGUUACAGCAGGCAGCGAGCAGCGAGCCCGAGCGGUCACUUCUAGUUCUUUAUGUGGUACUUAAAGCUGCACUGAGCCUCAUGGUGCUCCAGAGAGUUUAACAUGUAACAUGCAGCUACACCAAUAAUAAUAAUAAUAAUAAUAAUAAUAAUAAUAAUAAAUUAUGUCUAAAUACAUUUCUAAAUAAAAUUAAUAAUGAAUCAAAUUUUCCAUAUAAUCUCAAUUCUUCAAUUAUUAAAAUAAACAAAUGUGUGUAAUUAAUGUAGGCUAUAUGAAUUGAUAACGUUUUGAUUAAAAAUAAAGUAAUACAAUCUAAACUAUAGACUGUAAAUAAAAAAAUGAGAAUAAAAACAAAACAAAAAAUUUAAAUUACAAACAUUUUUGCUUUAAAAUAAAACUGCUCCAGAGAGAGGCUACUUCAAACAAGCAAUCAAGUAAAUACACAAACAAUCAACGAAAGAUAAAUAAAUAAAUAUGGACAUAAAUAAUUGUGAUUUGUUUAUUUAUUUACUUUUUUCAGUCAGGCAGUGUUAAUGGUUUGUGUUUAAAAAAAAUAUAUUGACUGAAAUAUUCAUUUAUCAGAAUAGAGACUUGACUGCUGUAGGCUGUAUAGUUAUUUGCUGUAUUUUUUAUUUUUUUUUUGUCCUUUGGCUUUAUAUUUGUACGUUUAAAAUAAAAUGUUUAUAAAACA
Molecule: long non-coding RNA, 2986 nt
Organism: Siniperca chuatsi (mandarin fish)
Lineage: Eukaryota; Metazoa; Chordata; Actinopteri; Centrarchiformes; Sinipercidae
Exons: 2
Source: RefSeq, a predicted model, not a curated record